GAUGAACGCUGGCGGCGUGCCUAAUACAUGCAAGUCGAGCGAACAGACGAGGAGCUUGCUCCUCUGACGUUAGCGGCGGACGGGUGAGUAACACGUGGAUAACCUACCUAUAAGACUGGGAUAACUUCGGGAAACCGGAGCUAAUACCGGAUAAUAUAUUGAACCGCAUGGUUCAAUAGUGAAAGACGGUUUUGCUGUCACUUAUAGAUGGAUCCGCGCCGCAUUAGCUAGUUGGUAAGGUAACGGCUUACCAAGGCAACGAUGCGUAGCCGACCUGAGAGGGUGAUCGGCCACACGGGAACUGAGACACGGUCCAGACUCCUACGGGCGGCAGCGGUAGGGAAGCUUCCGCAAAGGGCGAAAGCCUGACGGAGCAACGCCGCGUGAGUGAUGAAGGUCUUCGGAUCGUAAAACUCUGUUAUUAGGGAGGAACAAGUGUGUAAGUAACUAUGCACGUCUUGACGGUACUUAAUCAGAAAGCCACGGCUAACUACGUG
RNAcentral lists this ribosomal RNA (497 nucleotides) under uncultured bacterium. RNAcentral describes it as "partial 16S ribosomal RNA". It matches the Rfam family "Bacterial small subunit ribosomal RNA", at positions 28 to 507 of the family's 1533-position model. The record is from RNAcentral.